Long non-coding RNA from Felis catus (domestic cat), 829 nucleotides. RefSeq lists it as uncharacterized. Lineage: Eukaryota; Metazoa; Chordata; Mammalia; Carnivora; Felidae. The record is from RefSeq and is a predicted model, not a curated record. The transcript is spliced from 5 exons.
UUCCCCUGUCUGGCUUGGCCCCUCUACUCCCAGGGGACACUUCCUUACUCCAGAGAGCCACAGGGAGAGCAGAACUCUGGUUCCCAUAGCAACAUGGCCAGGUUCACAAGGCAACAAGGUCUUGCCUUUGCAGUCAGCUCCAUUAUAACUGUCAGUGGCCAAGGCAAUUUUAGGUCAGCCUACGAGAUUAAUUUGCAGCUUUCUCAACACAGAAGCCCCCAGCAUGGAAGAAAAGGCAACAGGAAAAAGCCCACCCAUCCUGCCAUGUGGGGCUGUGGGGCUCAACCUUGAUGAGGAAUGAAUCGACAAAGAAGUAUCAUGAGAAAAGGCCAGAAGGGUUUUCAGCACAGAGCUUCAAAAACCCUGGGAAUGUCCUGAGUAAUAGAGAUCAUCUCUUUUAUGCAAAUGAGAUGCUCUAGACCCAAUAAAAACCCUGGACGGAAAGCUCAGAGGAACUUCCAGACUGGUGUACACACUGAUGUGCAGAGUGGGGGGUACACUCCAACUCCACAGGCAAAGGGCCUGGAAGUUCUGCAUUCAGGAUCCUCCCACUCUCUCCUGUGUUUAUGCUUUAGGAUAAAACUGUAAUGGGUGGAAGAAAAAGAAAAUCCUUUCUUAGCCCCUUCCUCCUUCCUGCUGGCUGGAGACAGGCAUAGAGAUGAAUUCUCUUGCAUCAGAUGGACACGAGCAAUGGCCUACAAACAAGACAGAAUGCUCCUGAGUCCCUAAGGCUUCUGCAAAGCAGUUACCAUGCAAGCCCUGAAUUCCCUACCUUCUAAAUUUUCAUGUGUGAGAAAAAUAAACUAUCAUCUUAUUUAAGCUACUGUUA